Molecule: ribosomal RNA, 482 nt
Filed under: uncultured bacterium
Lineage: Bacteria
Description: bacterial SSU rRNA
Rfam family: Bacterial small subunit ribosomal RNA
Source: RNAcentral
GACGACGCUGGCGGCGUGCUAUACAUGCAAGUCGAGCGGUGAACCCGACUGAAAGCCUUCGGGCUUGACGUUGGGGGAUCAGCGGCGGAUGGGUGAGUAACGCGUGGGUACCUGCCCUAAAGUCUGGGAUAACAACUCGAAGGGGUUGCUAAUACCGGAUGUGACCGAGAGGUUAAAGGCAGAGAUGUCGCUUUAGGAUGGGCCCGCGUCCCAUUAGCUAGUUGGUGAGGUAAGGGCUCACCAAGGCUGCGAUGGGUAGCCGGCCUGAGAGGGUGGACGGCCACACUGGGACUGAGACACGGCCCAGACUCCUACGGGAGGCAGCAGUAGGGAAUUUUCCGCAAUGGACGGAAGUCUGACGGAGCGACGCCGCGUGGGGGAAGAAGGCCUUCGGGUUGUAAACCUCUGUCUUCAGGGACGAAGAGGGUGUGGGAGACACACCGAAGCCGGUACCUGAGGAGGAAGCCCCGGCUAACUACGUG